Molecule: ribosomal RNA, 504 nt
Filed under: uncultured bacterium
Lineage: Bacteria
Description: partial 16S ribosomal RNA
Rfam family: Bacterial small subunit ribosomal RNA
Source: RNAcentral
AUUGAACGCUGGCGGCAGGCCUAACACAUGCAAGUCGAGCGGUAGCACAGAGAGCUUGCUCUCGGGUGACGAGCGGCGGACGGGUGAGUAAUGUCUGGGAAACUGCCCGAUGGAGGGGGAUAACUACUGGAAACGGUAGCUAAUACCGCAUAACGUCGCAAGACCAAAGAGGGGGACCUUCGGGCCUCUUGCCAUCGGAUGUGCCCAGAUGGGAUUAGCUAGUAGGUGGGGUAACGGCUCACCUAGGCGACGAUCCCUAGCUGGUCUGAGAGGAUGACAAGCCACACUGGAACGAAGACACGGUCCAGACUCCUACGGGAGGCAGCAGUGGGGAAUAUUGCACAAUGGGCGCAAGCCUGAUGCAGCCAUGCCGCGUGUAUGAAGAAGGCCUUCGGGUUGUAAAGUACUUUCAGCGGGGAGGAAGGUGUUGAGGUUAAUAACCUCAGCAAUUGACGUUACCCGCAGAAGAAGCACCGGCUAACUCCGUGCCAGCCGCCGCUGUAA